Molecule: unclassified non-coding RNA, 250 nt
Filed under: plant metagenome
Description: partial contains small subunit ribosomal RNA, internal transcribed spacer 1, and 5.8S ribosomal RNA
Source: RNAcentral
GUAGGUGAACCUGCGGAAGGAUCAUUACAGAGUUCAUGCCCUUACGGGUAGAUCUCCCACCCUUGAAUACUAUACCUUCGUUGCUUUGGCAGGCCGUGGAAACACCACGGGCCUCGGCUAGUGCGUGCCUGCUAGAGGAAACAAACUCUGUUUUUAGUGAUGUCUGAGUACUAUAUAAAUAGUUAAAACUUUCAACAACGGAUCUCUUGGUUCUGGCAUCGAUGAGGAACGCAGCAUCUGACUGACUUCA